AUGGUUCCCCUAGCCAGUCCUACAAACACCUUUGUUUCACUUGUUAGUGAUCUGAUUGAUCCAAGCACUUGGUCAUGGAGAAGGGAACUAAUUCGGGACACGUUUUUACCCUCAGAUGCACAAGCUAUUCUGAAUAUACCUCUGCGGUCUGGAGGUGGAGAUGAUUUUCUCGCUUGGGCAAAUGAGGCUUCCGGCAACUACACAGUCAAGUCAGCGUACCGAGCUCUAGUGACUCGCAACGAGCUUCAAGCUCCAGAGGAAGGGCAGGCUACCAGUUCCAUAAUUGAUAAUCAACAGCUGUGGAAUUCGCUAUGGAAGCUCAAUGUUUUACCCAAGGUCAGAGUUUUCUCUGGCGAGUUUUAAGGGGUAUUUUACCCGAUGAGUGUACCCUGA
This 393-nucleotide ribosomal RNA is filed under the name Triticum aestivum (bread wheat). RNAcentral's name for it is "partial small subunit ribosomal RNA". Lineage: Eukaryota; Viridiplantae; Streptophyta; Magnoliopsida; Poales; Poaceae. The record is from RNAcentral.